UGUGAACAUACCAAUCGUUGCUUCGGCGGACUCGUCCCGGCGUCCGGGUGGCCUUGCGCUGCCCGCGGCCCGGAUCCAGGCGACCGCCGGAGGCCAUCAAACUCUUUGUAUUACCAGUAUCUUCUGAAUCCGCCGCAAGGCAAAACAAAUGAAUCAAAACUUUCAACAACGGAUCUCUUGGUUCUGGCAUCGAUGAAGAACGCAGCGAAAUGCGAUAAGUAAUGUGAAUUGCAGAAUUCAGUGAAUCAUCGAAUCUUUGAACGCACAUUGCGCCCGCCAGCAUUCUGGCGGGCAUGCCUGUUCGAGCGUCAUUUCAACCCUCGAGCUCCCUUUGGGGAGCCCGGCGUUGGGGACCGGCCUCUACCGCCGCCCCCGAAAUACAGUGGCGGCCCCGUCACGGCGACCUCUGCGUAGUAACUUAACCUCGCACCGGAAACCCGACGUGGCCACGCCGUAAAACACCCCACUUCUGAACGUUGACCUCGGAUCAGGUAGGAAUACCCGCUGAACUUAAGCAUAUCAAUAAGCGGAGGAAAAGAAACCAACAAGGAUUCCCCUAGUAACA
Molecule: ribosomal RNA, 565 nt
Filed under: Lecanicillium sp. 9 XC-2016
Lineage: Eukaryota; Fungi; Ascomycota; Sordariomycetes; Hypocreales; Cordycipitaceae
Description: eukaryotic LSU rRNA
Rfam family: 5.8S ribosomal RNA (bases 158-311)
Source: RNAcentral